AAACAUAUUCAGAGGGCAUUUUUUCAGCAUUCUCUUGUGCUUCUCCCAGACUUCAUAAAGGAAUUCUCCAUCUUUCUAUAUGAAGGUAUGGAUAUCAUGUCUUAGCUU
This is a small nucleolar RNA of Arachis stenosperma, 108 nucleotides long. The record is from RefSeq and is a predicted model, not a curated record. Lineage: Eukaryota; Viridiplantae; Streptophyta; Magnoliopsida; Fabales; Fabaceae.